Long non-coding RNA from Erinaceus europaeus (western European hedgehog), 450 nucleotides. RefSeq lists it as uncharacterized. The transcript is spliced from 3 exons. The record is from RefSeq and is a predicted model, not a curated record. Lineage: Eukaryota; Metazoa; Chordata; Mammalia; Eulipotyphla; Erinaceidae.
UGGAAAGGGAAAAGAAUGCAGCAUGAAGCCCAUGCAAAGGGUACAGAGGAGGGGGGUGAAGCAGAAGGGAGGUAUUCCCUACAAUGGCCCAUGUGCCCAAGAAGGACAAGUAGAAAGCCACACCUGCAGAGGUUGAACAGAACCAGAACAGGUGGGGAAGAAAGUCUCAUUGUAGCCUUGUUGCACAAUCCAUGGAGGUUUUUCCCAUCUCCAGUGCUGUGUGUGGCACUUCCAUGAAGUUUCAGGUGCCAGGAUAUGAACCCAAGGCCUCAAGAGCAGUAAGGCUUACACUCUACCAGGAAGAACUCUUGGCUGUAUAUUAUGUUCCAGGAGCUGAGGACACCCAGUAAGGGAAAGGUUCCCACAUCCCUGCAUUCCUGAUACUUGGCUCUCAUGAGGCAACAACAGCAGUAACCCAACAGCAUGGCCACACCUGUGGGGGUAACACAA